CUGAAUCUUCUACAUGGGAUAUGGUCAAAAUCAUUUCUAAAACCCUAGACAAAACCCGAGCUUUUCCCCCAAAUUCCACACAAACGCAAUAACAAUGGCUUGGCGUGGUUCGCUUUCCAGAUCUCUCGUCUCCACGGCAAGGGCUUCCGCCUUCCGCUCUUCGCCAACCCGCCUCCUUCCUUCCCCGAUCGUCGCCCCUCGCCUCCGGCCCCGCCGCUUCUCCUUCUCCAACCCCAGGACAUUGGGGGAACUAGGAUGUGCGCAGUCAUUGCUUCCACUGAGUAGCAUGGCGGGAGUACAGCUGACUUCACAUUUGACUCUCAACGUUCGGGCUUUCUGUGAGCUGUCCCAUGGUACCUUCCACCGUUCUUGUCAAGAUCGCUAAUAGUUUCUUUGGAGGAUUGGAAAAGAUGGGUGAUUUCAGCAGCGGUUCCCAACAAUCAAAGGCUCCCUGGCACUACCUUGUAGGUACUUAAAUGUAUUUUGGGUCUUGCGCAGAAAGAGCUCAAAGAUCUGGGUCUUGUUCGAUAGGAAUGUCUUCCUGGAACUUUCCCUCAUUACAUAGGAAAAACAAAUAAAGAUAUGGCAUUCCCUCCUUUCCUCCUUUCCUUUGCAGACUGAAUUGCAUUUACUGGCUUAAUGUCUUGAAUUCUGUGACACUCAAAACUGCUGCAUUUUUUGCGCAUGCAUAUAUGCUUGACCUGUAUAUUGGAAUUUGAUUCUUUACGCUCUUUCAAAUUUUUCCAUCUACAACAUUGGUAAUACCAUUGUCAAAUUUGGGAUUCCUUUAA
RNA transcript from Salvia hispanica, 791 nucleotides. RefSeq lists it as uncharacterized. NCBI's taxonomy places the organism in Eukaryota, Viridiplantae, Streptophyta, Magnoliopsida, Lamiales, Lamiaceae. The record is from RefSeq and is a predicted model, not a curated record.